AGAGAGAGACAUGCGCGCAUAUCAAUAAGCGGAGGAAAAGAAACUAACUAAGGAUUCCCUCAGUAACGGCGAGUGAAGCGGGAAGAGCUCAAAUUUGAAAUCUUCAAGGGUUCUACCUUUACGAAUUGUAGUUUAAAGAAGUGUUUUCUGUUGAAGUUUUGGUAAAAGUUCUUUGGAAUAGGACAUCAUAGAGGGUGAGAAUCCCGUAUUUGACCAUUAUUUCCAGCUUUGUGAUACACUUUCAAAGAGUCGGAUUGUUUGGGAAUGCAGUCCAAAAUGGGUGGUAAAUUUCAUCUAAAGCUAAAUAUUGGCGAGAGACCGAUAGCGAACAAGUACCGUGAGGGAAAGAUGAAAAGAACUUUGAAAAGAGAGUUAAACAGUACGUGAAAUUGUCAAAAGGGAAGCGUUUGACACCAGUGUUGUUUUCUCGAAAAUCAAUUAAAAAAGGCAGGAUUUUGUGUUGUAUUGACUUUAUCAGCUUUCUGCACUCUUUUCUUGUCUUUUUUAAUGCACUUUUCGUUUAACAAGUCAACAUCAAUUUCUUUUGUUGUAAAAGGGUCAUUGGAAGGUGGCUUUCUUUUCGGAGAAAGUGUUUAUAGCCUUUGGCCUCUGCAAUCGGAGAGAUUGAGGUCUGCAGCGUAGAUCCUUCGGGGUUAGAUACAUUUGUGCUAAGUUAUAGCCUUUCAUAGACAACUUGUUGACUAUGAUCAGUCAUGUAGCUUACUCGCUUAUGCUAUUUUACCUACGCUUAGGAUGUUGAUGUGAUACUGCGAGCA
This 776-nucleotide ribosomal RNA is filed under the name uncultured Neocallimastigales. RNAcentral describes it as "partial large subunit ribosomal RNA". It matches the Rfam family "Eukaryotic large subunit ribosomal RNA", at positions 23 to 639 of the family's 3401-position model. Lineage: Eukaryota; Fungi; Neocallimastigomycota; Neocallimastigomycetes; Neocallimastigales. The record is from RNAcentral.